RNAcentral lists this ribosomal RNA (494 nucleotides) under uncultured bacterium. RNAcentral's name for it is "partial 16S ribosomal RNA". It matches the Rfam family "Bacterial small subunit ribosomal RNA", at positions 28 to 506 of the family's 1533-position model. The record is from RNAcentral.
GACGAACGCUGGCGGCGUGCCUAAUACAUGCAAGUAGAACGCUGAAGGAGGAGCUUGCUUCUCUGGAUGAGUUGCGAACGGGUGAGUAACGCGUAGGUAACCUGCCUGGUAGCGGGGGAUAACUAUUGGAAACGAUAGCUAAUACCGCAUAAUAGUAGAUGUCGCAUGACAUUUGCCUAAAAGGUGCAAUUGCAUCACUACCAGAUGGACCUGCGUUGUAUUAGCUAGUUGGUGAGGUAACGGCUCACCAAGGCAACGAUACAUAGCCGACCUGAGAGGGUGAUCGGCCACACUGGGACUGAGACACGGCCCAGACUCCUACGGGAGGCAGCAGUAGGGAAUCUUCGGCAAUGGACGGAAGUCUGACCGAGCAACGCCGCGUGAGUGAAGAAGGUUUUCGGAUCGUAAAGCUCUGUUGUAAGAGAAGAACGAGUGUGAGAGUGGAAAGUUCACACUGUGACGGUAUCUUACCAGAAAGGGACGGCUAACUACGU